AUACGUAGGGGGCGAGCGUUGUCCGGAAUGACUGGGCGUAAAGGGCGCGUAGGCGGCUUUGCAAGUCAGUAGUGGAAGUCCAUUUGUCAAGGAUGGAAGUGCUACAGAAACUGCGGAGCUUGAGUGCAGGAGAGGUUAGCGGAAUUCCCGGUGUAGCGGUGAAAUGCGUAGAGAUCGGUAGGAACACCAGUGGCGAAAGCAGGUUGCUGGGGAUGUGCUGACGCUGAGACACGAAAGCCAGGGGAGCGAACGGGAUUAGAUACCCCGGUAGUCCUGGCCGUAAACGAUGUCCACUAGAUCGCAGUCGUUCUGACGUGAUUGCGGUCGAAGCCAAAGUGCUAAGUGGACCGCCUGGGAAGUACGGUCGCAAGGCUAAAACUCAAAGGAAUUGACGG
RNAcentral lists this ribosomal RNA (395 nucleotides) under uncultured bacterium. Its description in RNAcentral is "partial 16S ribosomal RNA". It matches the Rfam family "Bacterial small subunit ribosomal RNA", at positions 523 to 916 of the family's 1533-position model. The record is from RNAcentral.